UGCAUCUGCCUCUGUCUCU
RNAcentral lists this unclassified non-coding RNA (19 nucleotides) under Mus musculus (house mouse). Its description in RNAcentral is "oocyte_clustered_small_RNA11763". The record is from RNAcentral. Lineage: Eukaryota; Metazoa; Chordata; Mammalia; Rodentia; Muridae.